CGACCGCAUUGACCCCAUCUCAUUGAAAGACAUUGAUGAUAGUAAUGAAUGGUUGAUGGGUCAAAUGGAGGAAGAGAUUGAUAGAGAUGAACUUGUUUUUGAAGAUGAUGAUUUGACAUGGAAUAUGGUUGCUGCAGCUACUGGAGCUGAAGAGAAUGCCUACAACACUAGAUUAAGCAAAGGGAAAAAUGUUGCAUCUACAUCACAGCAAAAAAGAAAAGUAUCAUCCACUCGUACUUCUUCACUUCUUGAAGACGAGGAAGAA
Molecule: unclassified non-coding RNA, 265 nt
Filed under: Hevea brasiliensis (rubber tree)
Lineage: Eukaryota; Viridiplantae; Streptophyta; Magnoliopsida; Malpighiales; Euphorbiaceae
Source: RNAcentral